AACGAACGCUGGCGGCAUGCCUAACACAUGCAAGUCGAACGAGACCUUCGGGUCUAGUGGCGCACGGGUGCGUAACGCGUGGGAACCUGCCUUUAGGUUCGGAAUAACUCAGAGAAAUUUGAGCUAAUACCGGAUGAUGUCUUCGGACCAAAGAUUUAUCGCCUUUAGAUGGGCCCGGGUUGGAUUAGCUAGUUGGUGGGGUACAGGCCUACCAAGGCGACGUUCCAUAGCUGGUCGGAUAGGAUGAUCAGCCACACUGGGACUGCGGCACGGCCCAGACUCCUACGGGAGGGAGCAGUGGGGAAUAUUGGACAAUGGGCGAAAGCCUGAUCCAGCAAUGCCGCGUGAGUGAUGAAGGCCUUAGGGUUGUAAAGCUCUUUUACCCGAGAUGAUAAUGACAGUAUCGGGAGAAUAAGCUCCGGCUAACUCCGUG
Molecule: ribosomal RNA, 433 nt
Filed under: uncultured bacterium
Lineage: Bacteria
Description: partial 16S ribosomal RNA
Rfam family: Bacterial small subunit ribosomal RNA
Source: RNAcentral